GGUGUAACCAACCUGCUAUUAAGGAUAUGGCAUAAAGAAAUAAUAGAAAAAGAGUUCCAGUAUAAAGAUCUUUAUUAGUGCGUAAACUGAUUGUAUACCACCAGAGAUAAAUACCAGAAUAAGCGAUAUUCACUAGGCCAAGAGCACCCCCUCGAGUAAAAGCUUCCACGGCCGGUUGACCAAAAUGAGGAUCCCAAAUUGCAUGAGCAAUAGGUCUUACAUGUAAAGGUAAAAGCUUCCACGGCCGGUUGACCAAAAUGAGGAUCCCAAAUUGGAUAAAAAUAGGUCUUACAUGUAAAGGGUCCUGUACCCACGACUCAAAAUUUCCUUGCCAAGCUACAUGAAAUAGAUAUUUGGAAGUCCACAGAAAAAUCAUU
Molecule: long non-coding RNA, 377 nt
Filed under: Nicotiana benthamiana
Lineage: Eukaryota; Viridiplantae; Streptophyta; Magnoliopsida; Solanales; Solanaceae
Description: long non-coding RNA (NBEN_LNC015673)
Source: RNAcentral